AUGCAGCCAAGUAAAAUUACCGUGAAUUUGGAAGUGAAGCAAGUGAUUGGGACUCUGUGUAAACUGCUCUCGGCCGUGGGAUUGUACCAUGUACCCGCACCAGAGGCAUUUAGACGGGCAAAAUUUGGUUUUGGAGUCGAAAUGGAAUCUCAGUUUUGGCGGCUGAUAGCCGACAUUCUUCACAGUUCUGGCACUGUACACUCUCAAAUAGUUGCACAGCCCAAAGAAGAGUACAAGAAGCUGGUGGCUGCUGGCCUUUGGCAGACUGGUUAUUAUGCAGACUGGAUAUAUGAGAUGGAGGAAGAAGGACAAGAUGAAAAAAGUUUCUCCAGCCAAGAUCUCCUCUUGGCAGUAGGCUGGCUGCUCUCUAUUGGAACAAUAGAAAAGCUGCUGAUGCAAAGAGUACAACAACUAGACAAAACAUUACUCAGAUCUAUACCUGUCAGCUCUCAGGUUUCUCAAGAGCUGUGGCUUGAUUUGGUCUUGCUACGCAGACUUCAGUGGCUUGUUGGCAAUCUGAGACAUGAGGGACGAAUCCUGCUGUGCAUGUUAGAAGAAAAAAAUAGGUUGCUUCAUGCUUUUUUUUCUGCCAGCGUCUCCUCCAAAGUGCCAUACCUGUCUGACCAAAACUCCACAGCCCUAAAGAAUGACUAUGUUUGUACAGAGCAGCUCUGUGACCUCCUGGAAGCAUAUGUUAAUUGGAAACAGGUGGAGAAAGUCUUCUGGAGUUGGAUGGACAGUGUCAUUGGCUGCCAUUUGUCAGAACCUAAGAGAUGUACAAGUGUACCUGAUAUGGUUUCCAGUAGAAAUCAGGGCCUAGAGGAACUGGAGAACAUGCUAAUAAAACUGCCCAUUGCACAGAAAGGACAGAGGAGAGGCAGAGGUGAUUCUGAGGAAAGAGGAAGGACGAAUUUGCAGGAAGAGCCAGACUUCAGGCUGAGAAGCCAGUCAGACUCAACCGCUACCCAUCAGAGGAACUCCACAACUGGGCCAAGACUACAGAGGAUUUCCAACCUUCUAAGACUGCAUGGGUACUUCUUGAGACAGAGGCUCAGCUGCUGCAAAGGAGGGACCAGCAGAGACAGGCCAACAGGAUGAUGCUACAACAUACUAUUAGCCUCUUUGAUGCUCAAAAUUCACAAUAAUAAGUAACCU
RNAcentral lists this long non-coding RNA (1155 nucleotides) under Betta splendens (Siamese fighting fish). RNAcentral's name for it is "lncRNA (ENSBSLG00000020187.1)". The record is from RNAcentral. Lineage: Eukaryota; Metazoa; Chordata; Actinopteri; Anabantiformes; Osphronemidae.